This is a long non-coding RNA of Piliocolobus tephrosceles (Ugandan red Colobus), 1819 nucleotides long. RefSeq lists it as uncharacterized. The record is from RefSeq and is a predicted model, not a curated record. NCBI's taxonomy places the organism in Eukaryota, Metazoa, Chordata, Mammalia, Primates, Cercopithecidae. The transcript is spliced from 2 exons.
AGGCAGGAGAAUGGCGUGAACCCGGGAGGCGGAGCUUGCAGUGAGCUGAGAUCCGGCCACUGCACUCCAGCCUGGGUGACAGAGCGAGACUCCAUCUCAAUAAAAAUAAAAAGAGUUGUUAUACCUCAGUGAUGUGGCAAGAGGAAUAAAAGCCCCCCCCACCUCAUUCAUGAGGAACUUCUUAGAAGCACGUGCUCUGGGCAAGAUGCCCCACUAGUCUGGGAUUUCUCCUGAUGCUGCCAGAAACCAACCUAGUACAUGUUUCUGGUUCUCCCCAACAUCUCCCACAUUCAAGCUUCUACUUAGACCUUCAGUACCAUUUCUUCCCAUUUUCUGCCUAUGAGUUAUCUACCCUGCAAGGACUAAAGCAGGCCUGCACUACCCCAGAGCUCUAUUUGAAAGAAACUUCUUUUCUCUCCAUAUUCACAGCACAUUCACUGCCUUUCUCCCUGGUAUUUGUGUAACUUUGUUUGGAUUAUUGUUAGUUAUUUGCACGGUUGUUUAUUAUCAGGGGAAGUCCCUGACUUAUCUCCAUACCCACCUCUGGUCAGUAAGUAUUUGUAGAAGUCCAUUAUCUGAUUAGAUUAAGAGAAGAGGCAGAGCUGUCUGGAAGCAAUGAGCAACUAAAACUAGAUGGGGAAAUACAAGUUGAUAAUAAGGUGAGGAAUAUUUUGGCUAUAGCCCAAAGAGGCCCAGACUGAAGAAAUAAACCUGUAAUUUCAGCACUUUUGUCCAGAGCAGUUCAGGCUUCUUUUCUCAGGACUGGAUCAGAGAGAAACUGCUGGCCGAUGCUGUGGCUCUUACUCAGAUCUAAGGGCAGCAUGUUGCCUAAACUAGUAAAUUAUUUUAUUGGACUAAAUUGUAACUGUGUUUCAGUCCUUAAGAAUGGGGACACCAAACAUGCUAUGUGGUACAUUUUUUCUGUGUUACUAUUGAGGUUUGAAUUGUUAUUCCUGACAUUGACAACUUACAGUUUAUAAUACUGAGGUGUUAUUUAGGAAAACAAAUGGGCCUGCAGAUUUUGAUGUAAAUGCAACUGUAUGUGUCUGUUGUGAAAGCCACCAGCAGACUUGCAUGGUUGAUUGUAGUAUCAGGGUGUCCAGUCACCCAUCUCAAAACCCAGAGUAUUACAUAUCUAGCUUAAUUGGUAGGUUUUAAGACAAAAGGAGCUGAGGCUCAUCACAGCAAAACAACAGGUAGUCCCUAGGAAGUCACGAGGGAAUGAGCUUGAAUAAAUUUGUUACCUUGUUGGUUGGCAGACGUACUUGGAGUGUGUAUCUUAAGCUGUUGGUUUUUCAUGGGCAUCUUUCUGUUUUGAGCAAAGGCGGCUUCAAUGAUCCAUCCUAAAGAGGUGCCCCCUGAGGCCAUCUUGCUGGCAGUCUACCUUGAGCUGCAGAAUGGUAAUACUCAGCUGGCCUUACAGAUCAUCAAAAGGAAUCAGCUGCUCCCUGCAGUGAAAACACACUCUGAAGUGAGAAAGAAGCCAGUGUUUCAGCCUGUCCACCCGAUCCAGCCCAUCCAAAUGCCGGCUUUCACCACUGUGCAGAGAAAGUGAUACUUCGCUUUUGGAAAACUGUUACCUGAGACCCAGGGGAGUAUUUACUGGCCAUUUUACUUGUAUCACAGCAGAAUGAAUAAAAGAUGGUGAAGGCUGUUAAUUUUGAGACGGUUCUACCCCUGACUUUUUGCCAAAAGCUUACUUAAAAUUAAGGAUUUACUAAGUCAUCAUCAGCUGUUUUUCUUAAUUUCAGCCAGACUAUUAAUUUUGAGACAUUAUGUAAUAUAUGCCAUAGGCAAUUAAAACAUAAUUUUAUCAGAA